Molecule: ribosomal RNA, 443 nt
Filed under: uncultured bacterium
Lineage: Bacteria
Description: bacterial SSU rRNA
Rfam family: Bacterial small subunit ribosomal RNA
Source: RNAcentral
AGAGUUUGAUCAUGGCUCAGAACGUACGCUGGCGGCACGCCUAACACAUGCAAGUCGAACGAAGUAGCAAUACUUAGUGGCAGACGGGUGAGUAACAUGUGGGUAUCUGCCCUUUGGCCUGGAAUAACACGAGGAAACUUGUGCUAAUACCGGAUAAGUCUUUACGGAGAAAGCUUUAUGCACCAUUGGAUGAGCCUGCACUUGAUUAGUUUGUUGGUGGGGUAAUGGCCUACCAAGACUGUGAUCAAUAGCUGAUUUGAGAGGAUGAUCAGCCACAUUGGGACUGAGACACGGCCCAAACUCCUACGGGAGGCAGCAGUGGGGAAUCUUGCACAAUGGAGGAAACUCUGAUGCAGCGAUGCCGCGUGAGUGAAGAAGGCCCUUGGGUUGUAAAGCUCUUUCGUCGGGGAAGAAAAUGACUGACCCGAAUAAGAAGUCCGGUA